UCUCUAUGUAGUUCAAGCUGGCCUUGAGCUCACUUUGUAGCCCAGGCUGGUCUCGAACUCGCAAUGAUCCUCCUGCCUCAGCCUCCCGAGUGCUGGGAUUACAGGCAUGAGCCACCAAGCCCG
This 123-nucleotide microRNA precursor is filed under the name Cavia aperea (Brazilian guinea pig). Its description in RNAcentral is "miRNA (ENSCAPG00000004289.1)". Lineage: Eukaryota; Metazoa; Chordata; Mammalia; Rodentia; Caviidae. The record is from RNAcentral.